RNAcentral lists this ribosomal RNA (442 nucleotides) under uncultured bacterium. RNAcentral's name for it is "bacterial SSU rRNA". It matches the Rfam family "Bacterial small subunit ribosomal RNA", at positions 28 to 450 of the family's 1533-position model. The record is from RNAcentral.
GACGAACGCUGGCGGCGUGCCUAACACAUGCAAGUCGAACGGAACUGUUUUGAAAGAUUUCUUCGGAAUGAAUUUGAUUUAGUUUAGUGGCGAACGGGUGAGUAACGCGUGAGUAACCUGCCUUCAAGAGGGGGAUAACAUUCUGAAAAGAAUGCUAAUACCGCAUGACAUAUCGGAACCACAUGGUUUUGAUAUCAAAGAUUUUAUCGCUUGAAGAUGGACUCGCGUCCGAUUAGUUAGUUGGUGAGGUAACGGCUCACCAAGACCGCGAUCGGUAGCCGGACUGAGAGGUUGAACGGCCACAUUGGGACUGAGACACGGCCCAGACUCCUACGGGAGGCAGCAGUGGGGGAUAUUGCGCAAUGGGGGCAACCCUGACGCAGCAACGCCGCGUGAAGGAUGAAGGUUUUCGGAUUGUAAACUUCUUUUAUUAAGGACGAAA